This 351-nucleotide ribosomal RNA is filed under the name Draparnaldioides simplex. RNAcentral's name for it is "eukaryotic LSU rRNA". The stretch from base 1 to 65 matches the Rfam family "5.8S ribosomal RNA", at positions 90 to 154 of the family's 154-position model. Lineage: Eukaryota; Viridiplantae; Chlorophyta; Chlorophyceae; Chaetophorales; Chaetophoraceae. The record is from RNAcentral.
CAUCGAAUCUUUGAACGCAUAUUGCGCUCGAGGCCUCGGCCGAGAGCAUGUCUGCCUCAGCGUCGGCUUACACCAUCACCCGCCUUCAAUUUAGCCAGCGUGCGGUCGUCGGCCCGGGUGGACCUGGCAGUCUCAGCUUCCCUCGCGGCGGCUGGGUCUGCCGAAGAAUAGAGGCUUGAGCACGGACCCGAUUACGGCAACAACUGGGUGGGCAGCUCGUCUGCAACUAGUUGGUGCUUGGGACCGUGUUGGUGGCCCUUUGGAAGCGACGGCUGGCUUGCCGUCGUGACACCUCACUAUUCGACCUGAGCUCAGGCAAGAUUACCCGCUGAACUUAAGCAUAUCAAUAAG